RNAcentral lists this ribosomal RNA (506 nucleotides) under uncultured bacterium. Its description in RNAcentral is "partial 16S ribosomal RNA". It matches the Rfam family "Bacterial small subunit ribosomal RNA", at positions 28 to 507 of the family's 1533-position model. The record is from RNAcentral.
GACGAACGCUGGCGGCGUGCUUAACACAUGCAAGUCGAACGGUGAAGGGACUGGUUUUGCUGGUCCUGGAUGAGUGGCGAACGGGUGAGUAACACGUGAGUAACCUGCCCCCUUCUUCUGGAUAACCGCAUGAAAGUGUGGCUAAUACGGGAUAUUCUGGGUCUGUCGCAUGGUGGGCCUGGGAAAGAUUGCGCCUUUUUUGGUGUUCUUGGUGGGGGAUGGGCUCGCGGCCUAUCAGCUUGUUGGUGGGGUGAUGGCCUACCAAGGCGGUGACGGGUAGCCGGCCUGAGAGGGUGGACGGUCACACUGGGACUGAGACACGGCCCAGACUCCUACGGGAGGCAGCAGUGGGGAAUAUUGCACAAUGGGCGCAAGCCUGAUGCAGCGACGCCGCGUGAGGGAUGGAGGCCUUCGGGUUGUGAACCUCUUUCGCCAGUGAAGCAGGCCUGCCUCUUUUUGUGGGUGGGUUGACGGUAGCUGGAUAAGAAGCGCCGGCUAACUACGUG